GGACCACUAGUGCGUUAAAAACCAACUUUGGAGCUGGUUUUAACGCAAAAUGUUUGAGUUAAAUCGUGUUUUCCACCCAUGAAAGUCAUUUCCACCUUUUAUAAAAGGGCCUUGACCAAGUGACUGACUCGUUGAUGUGAGCGCCAAGAGAUUAAGACCGUUCUUUUCGUCAGCCACCAUCGUCCAAUACUUUAAAAUCGUCAGCUCAUUUAAUCCUUAACCCGACGGUGGAUCUUGCCGCGGAAGGAAGUACUAGCAAAACCAUGAAGCACUGGCUGUAUAACGAUGCUGCCGCGCACUUGUUUAACGUCGCCUUCAUUCCAAGCACGGGACACAUACGCAUUAAACACACCGGUAAAUACUUUUUAUAUACCAGGGCAAGCGUGUUAUUUAAAGCGUCAAAUGAUCCGCCUUUGAUACACUCUGUGCAUAAGAAGUCGGCAAGCUCAGCCCUAAGAGAGCUUUUGAGGGCGGUCCGUAUAAAUAGGUGGUCUUCGGCGCUGCGCUACGACGUACAGACCUCGUUUUUGAGCGGAACUUUUGACCUCAGGGAGAAUGACGAGGUGUAUGUUAGCCUCAAUAACAUAGCGAGGUUAUAUUUUUCUGAGAGGAAUUAUAGAUCAACUAAUUUUGGUUUGUUUAUGAUUUAACGUCGCAGCAGGUUCUGCAGCAUAGAGUAGCUGUCUUGAAGUCGUGGGAUAAUUUGUACAGGCCACCUCCCCUCCUUUUUAUUUUACCCUUUCCUUGGUGGGCAGGUUAUUUUCAAAUUACAAUAUAAAUUCAAAUUAAAAAUUCAUGCAAUCUCAAAACUGAUAGAUCCCUGUGAUAGAUGCCUGUGAUGUUAAUUUUCACAUGUGAAAAAUACCUCAUCCUACAAUGGACAAAAAAGUUCGGAAACACUGUUAUUCUAAUAAACUUUAAAUAAUCAUAAAGUUAAAUUCUUAACCAAGUUUUAAUGGAUAAUGCACCACGGUAACAUUCAUUGCUUUUUUAUAUACACGGAUUAUUUUCCUGCUACAUUAUAUAGUUUUUUUAAAUUAUUUUUGGUCGAGUGUAUAAGAAUCAACAACCUGUACGAAAUAUAUUUUUUCUUUACAUCAUAUGUAAUAAAUCUAUUUAAGCAGAAAAAGAAAAAUCACUACUGAGUCAGUAUAGUAAGGAAAUUUGCCUUUAUCUGUAGAAACAGUAAAACAUACAAAUGGGCAUCUUAAUAAAAGGAUUUGGUAAAUUUGUAAAAAAAAAAAAAAUGUAAGAGUAGAUAUAAUUUUACAGUUAACCUGACAUUCAAAUCACUUAAACUAUUCCUUUGGAAAUUUUUCAGUUUUGAAAAAAAUUAGACAACUGGUGAAAUUUAUAACAGCAACAUAUACUGUUACAUAAGAGCAACUGUACAGAAUACAGUUUAUGUUUAUUUUAUGUAUGUUUAUUUUAUGUAUGUUUUAUUUUUUUAACAUACUGUAACAUACUGCUUUACUAUAAUUAAUAGAUAAUAAAUGUGUCCAAUAUCACAUUAUCAUUAAUGUAUAAAAACUGCUGUCAAAAGUACUAUAAUACUUUAUCUGUGAUAUUUUUGCAAAAUAAAAAAAAAUCAUGAAAU
This 1597-nucleotide unclassified non-coding RNA is filed under the name Lingula anatina. RNAcentral describes it as "tumor necrosis factor ligand superfamily member 10- like, transcript variant X1". The record is from RNAcentral. Lineage: Eukaryota; Metazoa; Brachiopoda; Lingulata; Lingulida; Lingulidae.